UGCUUUUGACAUGACACUCGUGUGGGGGCGAGAGGACUAGACAAAAAGAGAACUACAUGCAUGCAUGCAUGUGUAUACAUGAUGAGUUUAAUUAGCCACAAAAUUAUUCGGUAAAUAUAUUAUUUUUGUUUUUUUUUCUUUUUCUUUUUUCCAUUUUUUUCUUUUUCUUUUCGAGAAUAAAAUAAUCAUAUCUGUUGAAUAUAGGCUUCCUAUUUUGUAAUUGGAAAGUAGGAAAUUAGGCAGAAUGUUCAUUUGGGUCAUCCUUAAUAGGUACUUUUUUAAAACGUUGCUAUUUCUGCAAGUGUCUCCAUAUGCAUAUAUU
This 322-nucleotide long non-coding RNA is filed under the name Salvia miltiorrhiza (redroot sage). RNAcentral's name for it is "long non-coding RNA (SMIL_LNC002124)". The record is from RNAcentral. Lineage: Eukaryota; Viridiplantae; Streptophyta; Magnoliopsida; Lamiales; Lamiaceae.